Molecule: long non-coding RNA, 747 nt
Filed under: Arabidopsis lyrata
Lineage: Eukaryota; Viridiplantae; Streptophyta; Magnoliopsida; Brassicales; Brassicaceae
Description: long non-coding RNA (ALYR_LNC002975)
Source: RNAcentral
AGUUGUGAAAGAGAGGAUAUUCGCCACGCAUGCUUCUGGUAACAUCAUCCUUCUUCACAAUUGAAGUGAUCUUCUCUCUUUUUCUCUCUUCUGUUUUAUGAAAUAUAUGUUUUGUUUUUUGGAGACGACAAACGUGACCGAUGAGCUAGUAGUUACUAUUUUGGACCGAAGGGCCGAAUCCUGAAAAUUAAUAUCAUUGCCUUCUUGGAAGACAAAAGGUUUGGUCAAUAAAAAAAAGACAAAAGAUAUAAAAGUUUGUUCUCUGAAAACAUAGUUUGUGUUCUGUAUUUGAGGUUUUUGGUUUAGAUCAUUAUGGAAAAUAUUCACCUUUAAGUUUUUUCCAAUGAAAAAUAUAUUUCUUUCUUACGGAAAAAGUUCUGACAGAUAUUAUUUGAAAUAUUCGUUUAGAUAAUGUAUAGUCUUACUUUUUUUUUGCCUAUGGUCAGGAGGUUAUCUUAGGCUCGUAGUUUCUACGUGCCAAAGACCAAAGCUGCCAGGUUAAUUAGUCUCUCUUCUCCGGCAACGAGACUGAAACCUUAGGCUUGAAGCGCAUUUUCCACUAGUAGAAUUAUUGAAACUCGGUUGAUGAUUUUUUGUGACAUGAACUCGAGUGCAUCAUUGGAGAUAAGAUCAUAAUAAUUUCAGUGACAUAAACUCGAGUGCAUCUCGACAAACAAGCUCACCGACCUACUAUUUUGUAGGACAUAAUAUAAUGAAAUAUAUGUAAACAAUGAAAACGUGUAUAUU